The submitters of this non-coding RNA (80 nucleotides) gave its source as unclassified sequences. The record is from Rfam.
UCAAAGAUACUUCCGUCCAGUCACAGUUCACACAAUGAGGGCGGCAGGCAGAGAACCUGGCUGGGGUGAGAAGCCCAUGA